Zalophus californianus (California sea lion) is the source of this 835-nucleotide long non-coding RNA. RefSeq lists it as uncharacterized. The transcript is spliced from 3 exons. NCBI's taxonomy places the organism in Eukaryota, Metazoa, Chordata, Mammalia, Carnivora, Otariidae. The record is from RefSeq and is a predicted model, not a curated record.
CAGUUACAUUGUCUUGGCUUUUGAAUAGGUUAAUGAGCCCCAGAAUUUAUCUUUAUUUGGGCUUUAGUGCUCACAUUCAUAUUCUACUUUAGUUUUUCUUCCAAAAAUAAAGUUUUGAGGGAAUGAUUUAUUCCAUAACGCAAAAAUCAGAAAGAGACAGAAUCCCUGCUUUGUUACUAAGGGAAGAAGGAGCGUCAGGGAAAGAGGAGGAGAGGCAUGAGUUUGAUGAAUGAGAAACGGCUCCCCCAGCGUCAUGGAUUCCUCUCCCAGGCAACUCCUCACUCACCUUCCCACAGCUGAAGAUGGUCUCGUGAGCAGAAUGGCUGAUUUUCAUACCAGCCCAGGCAGUAGAGGCAAUUCACCAACAUUGAAUCACAGACCAAACCUGAAAAAACUUAGCUCUGACCCAACCAUGUGCCGGAGUUGCCGAUGAUCCUUAAAAUUAACCUGUUCUGAGUCCUCCUGAAGGCCAAUUUUUAUGCAGCUGACCUGCCACUGUGCAGCAAUGGCGCCACCUACAGCUACAGAACAAUGUGCAUGUACUGACGAAAGACCAGCUGAGGAUGAAGAUGUCAUCUAUAACCGUGGAAACACACAACGUUAACCAGUUCUCGGGCAAUCUUAAAGCUAACAUUUCUCCUACAUAAUGUUGAAAGCCUCAGUGAGAUUCCAGUCUCAGAGGACCUUAUUCCCUGCAAGGUAAGGGCCUCAAAAGAGAAAAAACACCCUCUUCCUUUUCCACCCAGUGAGGUGAUAAGGAAGAGGUGGUGUCCAGAGGCUCAGCCACACCAAAUUUUCAAUGAAAGCAAUGAUAGCAGGUAACCCAAAAUCUCAU